UGUAUAAAGAGGUCAGAACACUAAAAUAGUGUUCAUCUUUUAUGGAUUGGUGACUUGUCAGGGUUUAUCCCUGCCUUUCCCCCAGAAGUGAAUCUGCUAGGUAGCCUAUGGGGUAUGCCGCCCCGCCAAAGUGUAACUUGGCGGGAUGAACAGGCAAGACAGGCAAAUACCAUGGGGCCCGGGACAUUGUGGAGUUUUAGGACUUUUGGGUAGGCUAAUAUGGUGACAGUAGAAAUCUGUCUGAGGGCCUAAAAUGCUAAAUAAACUUGUUAAUAGGCGCAUGAAUGAACAUUACAAACGCACAGGAAAGAAUAGCUAUUUUCAUCAGUCCUCAGGAAACAGUUUAGCGAGUUAGCAAAUGGCCUCAAGUGCAAAUGUUAAAUAAUAGGAAAAGACCAAUUAAGAGUAAAAAGUCGUCCAAAUGAGGGCGGAAAUUAUUUUUGUUUUGCUAUUAAUGUUUGCAGGAAUAAGUCUCGCUGUCCCUCUGCCGAAAAGGCUAUACAACGUUUGCCUCGUUUACCAGAACCGAUGUCAUUUUACCAAGAGAUAACGUGGAGUUGAGAAUGGAGCCACUGUUUGACCCAGACUUUCAUAAGGAACACAUCACCCUGUUUGAUGACUAUGGCAUAAAGCCCAUCCCACCUCGAUUUCCACCCUACCUCCUGCAUGAACAGGGCACCUACGACCCAAACCUGGAUGAGGAAUACUACUAAGCAUCUUCUUAAAUGAAAUAAUAAAUGUGAACUUGAAUUCAAAAUAAAGCAGAACUGUAUACUACUGGAGGAAAAAUGA
Long non-coding RNA from Anguilla rostrata (American eel), 792 nucleotides. RefSeq lists it as uncharacterized. The transcript is spliced from 4 exons. NCBI's taxonomy places the organism in Eukaryota, Metazoa, Chordata, Actinopteri, Anguilliformes, Anguillidae. The record is from RefSeq and is a predicted model, not a curated record.